RNAcentral lists this ribosomal RNA (253 nucleotides) under uncultured bacterium. RNAcentral's name for it is "partial 16S ribosomal RNA". It matches the Rfam family "Bacterial small subunit ribosomal RNA", at positions 524 to 776 of the family's 1533-position model. The record is from RNAcentral.
UACGGAGGGGGCUAGCGUUGUUCGGAAUUACUGGGCGUAAAGGGCGCGUAGGCGGAUAGUUUAGUCAGAGGUGAAAGCCCAGGGCUCAACCUUGGAAUUGCCUUUGAUACUGGCUAUCUUGAGUUCGGGAGAGGUGAGUGGAACUCCGAGUGUAGAGGUGAAAUUCGUAGAUAUUCGGAAGAACACCAGUGGCGAAGGCGACUCACUGGCCCGAUACUGACGCUGAGGCGCGAAAGCGUGGGGAGCAAACAGG